UUAACAUUUCAUAAUUUCUAAAACCUGCUCGUGACAGAACAGCUAAUAUAUUUUUGUUGUUGCUGUUGUUUUCUCCUUUUCUUAUUUUUGGGUAGUAAAAGUUAGUUUGUAUUCAUAAUGAAUAAAUGCGUUAAAAGUCCUGUCAACUUUUUUGACAGAUGUAAAAAUGUGAUUGAUUUCUGGCAUGUGUUUAUUUUUCCCCCACAGAGUGAUUUUAAUUUGCGUAUUUUUUUUUCUUUCUUUUAAGGAGUGAGUUGAUGCAAGAUGGAGAGAGGAGAAGGAAAAGGGGCCUACCAAAAAAUAGCAGCACAAAGGACAGUGAACAAGAUCAUGUUGUCCAGAUGCCAACUUCAGGAAAAACAACUGUCCGGUUUUCCUCAAGGCACCUGGAGUGAGCAGAAGUCCAGCCACCAGUUUUUCGUUAUUGCAAAAAUCCUCAACCCUCUGAAGACGGUUAUUUUGCUUCAUUCUCUGUUCAUGACUAUGACCUUUUAUAACACUUUGUCAUUUAUUUCAUGCCCGUACCACAGAUAUGAAUGAAAAUCUAGUCUGUUUCUAUUAGCAGGAUGAAUGGAAUUGUUCUUCAGUUGUACCCAAGCACCUUUAUAUUAAAUCAAAUUGCUUCAUGGUCAGACAGAGUCUUUCUAUUUUUUCCCCUCCUCUAUCAUAACAGUUGCUGGUAGUUGGAAUACUGACAGAAUUUCUACUGAAGCUCCUUUUUUUUUCUUUUUGAAAGUCAUUGCUUGUUGUUUCGUAGGUUAAUGAAUAAAGCAUUAUUUUUUUAAGGCA
This 789-nucleotide long non-coding RNA is filed under the name Anas platyrhynchos platyrhynchos (common mallard). Its description in RNAcentral is "lncRNA (ENSAPLG00000029184.1)". Lineage: Eukaryota; Metazoa; Chordata; Aves; Anseriformes; Anatidae. The record is from RNAcentral.